Molecule: RNase P RNA, 405 nt
Filed under: Halorussus sp. MSC15.2
Lineage: Archaea; Methanobacteriati; Methanobacteriota; Halobacteria; Halobacteriales; Haladaptataceae
Description: Archaeal RNase P
Rfam family: Archaeal RNase P
About the family: Ribonuclease P (RNase P) is a ubiquitous endoribonuclease, found in archaea, bacteria and eukarya as well as chloroplasts and mitochondria.
Source: Rfam by way of RNAcentral
GGCAGAGGGAGCCGAGUUCCCGCGGGGGCGUCGGCACUCGCCGGUGCCCGCGUGAGGAAAGUCCCCCCACCGUCCGGGCGGGCGACCGGACGCAAGUCCGGAGCGGGAGACCGCUGGCUCUGGAACAGAAACGAGACCGCUCUCCUCGACCGAUGAGGUGCGCGAACCCGAACCGAACGAAGGCACGCGCCGAGUAAAGGAACGGGGAGUUGACCCACCGAGGGACGUGCGGCGGACGAACCGCCGCGCGAGCGUGCUGGCGCUGCCAGUGCGCGGACGGGAGAGAACGGAUGGAACGGCGAAUCCUCGCCGGUGCAAGUCCGCGCGGAUUAGGUAGCCCGGACGACCGCGCGGACGCUCAGCCGAAUACUCGGAGGAACAGAAGGGGGCUUACUCCCCUCAGCC